GACAAAUCAACCACACUGGAUGGAUUACUAUAUCAUUUUUCUAAGGGAAUAUACUUUGACAGGUGACUAUCACCCAGACGAGGACUCUACAUGGCUGCCCUUCCCUGCAGCCUACUGUAACCCAUCUCUACCGAACAGGGAAGGAACAUUGAAGAGUUUAAGAACAACAAUCAAUAAAAACAUAAAUAUAAACAUAACAUAAAUAAAUAAACAAUGAUCAUCUAUGCUGUGAAAUUAUAGAAUGAAAGGAGGAUCUCAUAAAAGAGGCAGCUUUUAUUCCCCCAGACUUAGUGAGAGAUAUGUGGAGCUUUAAGGGAUAAUAUCCACUCUGACACUGCUGAUGUCAUUGUCAAACUUGCCUGCCUCUGCUCCUCCAACUCACACAAACAUAUACCCACCACACACACACACACACACACACACACACACACACACGCACACACACACACACACACACACACACACACACACACACACACACACACACACACACACACACACACACACACACACACACAUCCCUCCAGCCUUCUGUUCUUACCUCUCUCCCUCCUCUUCUACUCUGUGCCCCUGGCUUUACAGACGAGCUCUGGAUUAAUUAACCAAUUAGAAGUGGAGCCCCUGGGAGGCGUUUGAGGGUCCAAUCCCCUUGUUGUCAUUAGACACACAUACAUGGCCUCAAUUAGGCAGUGCUGUGAUAGGUCUCAUUGACUGGAAGAUGCAUCUCCAGGAGCAGUGUUUGUCUCCCCCCUUGAGUGACUGAGUAGCUCGAUUCAAUUAUAUCGGAAUCCCCAUAUUGAAGAUUUUGAGCAUCACUGUCUUUUCUCUUCUAUGUUGUCUUUCUUUCUGCAGAGAUCAAUGUCCUCUCCGUAGCUCUAAGCAACAGGCAUGUCAACUUUGUGUCUGUAAAUUUACAGAAAGUCUGUCUCACACUGAGCCCAUGCAUUGUUAUUGGUCAGGAACACAGAGGGAGAAUAAUGACUAAAUGAAAGGAUAAAAGGAAGAAUCUAUAUCCUACCAUGUUCAUAUGUUUGUAAGGUUCUUUCCCACCUUCUUAACUUGACUGACAGGGGCUGGAUACUUGAGGACUGAGUGUACACUACAGUAUGCUGUGUGUCAGCACUGAUUGGCCUUAUUAGGACAACACCGCAGACGGCCACAGACACAGCAGGGGAGUGUUGAUGCUGCUAGAGACAAGACAAGACAAGUUCACCACUUCUCAUCAUUUACUCAUUUGUCUUUUCACUUGGCCAGCAAUCACAGCUGAUCUCUACAGUAUGUAACCAUAACGGCUAAAUGACAGCCUAACCUUUUGGUCACCAGGGGACACUAAUGCAAGACUCUCAGUUUGUUUUGCUAGCAUACUGAGCCCCACAAAAUGUUUAGUAUGUUGUAAUGAGGCUCCAGUGGGCUGGUUAAUGUUUUCAUACAUAAUGUUGAGGCCUACAAAAAUGAGUCAUAAUAAGCUAAUCUUCUCAAAGUUGAAAGCCUGUCUUCACUUUGCAUGUUGCUAUGGCCCAGCCCCCAUGCCACAACAAAAAAAAUGAAAGGACAUGACAGUGAAAGAUUAAACUGAGAUAUUACAAAAUAAACAAAAAAGCAAACUG
Astatotilapia calliptera (eastern happy) is the source of this 1607-nucleotide long non-coding RNA. The record is from Ensembl. NCBI's taxonomy places the organism in Eukaryota, Metazoa, Chordata, Actinopteri, Cichliformes, Cichlidae.